Rhinopithecus roxellana (golden snub-nosed monkey) is the source of this 12719-nucleotide RNA transcript. It is a transcript of the gene named sorting nexin 13, with no coding region annotated. The record is from RefSeq and is a predicted model, not a curated record. The transcript is spliced from 26 exons. NCBI's taxonomy places the organism in Eukaryota, Metazoa, Chordata, Mammalia, Primates, Cercopithecidae.
ACGUUGCAGCGAGACGCGGACGUCGCUCUUCCAAGAUGGCGGCGCGUCCGUCGCAAGCGACCGGGCCGGGGGGAAGCCAGCGAAGCCGAGUAAAGCCGCCGCCCGGGAGAGGACUGAAUGAGCAGUUGCCGCCGUUGGCGGCGGCCCGAGCAGUUUUCGCUGCUGCUACGGCUGUUGCCAUGAGGCGAGGCUAGGGAGGACCUCACUUCCCCGGGGUGUAAUAAUGCUAACUGAGACCAGUCUAUCCAUAUGGGGAUGGGGAAGCCUUGGCAUUGUCCUUUUUCUGAUAACCUUUGGACCCUUUGUAAUAUUUUAUUUGACAUUUUAUAUCCUCUGCUUUGUGGGUGGGGGUUUAGUGGUUACUCUCCUGUUUGGAAAAACAAACUCAGAGAAGUACCUAGAACAGUGUGAACACUCAUUUCUUCCUCCAUCAUCAACUGGGGUUCCUAAGUGCUUAGAAGAAAUGAAACGGGAAGCCAGGACUAUUAAGAUUGAUAGAAGAUUGACGGGUGCCAAUAUAAUUGAUGAACCUCUCCAGCAAGUUAUCCAGUUUUCCUUGAGAGAUUAUGUCCAGUAUUGGUAUUAUACACUAAGCGAUGAUGAAUCUUUUCUUCUUGAAAUUAGGCAGACUCUUCAAAAUGCGCUCAUUCAGUUUGCUACUAGGUCAAAAGAAAUAGACUGGCAACCUUAUUUUACUACACGCAUUGUAGAUGAUUUUGGCACACACUUACGAGUAUUCAGAAAGGCUCAACAGAAAAUAACAGAGAAAGAUGAUCAAGUAAAAGGUACAGCAGAAGAUCUUGUAGAUACCUUCUUUGAAGUUGAAGUUGAAAUGGAGAAGGACGUUUGCCGUGAUCUAGUGUGCACUUCCCCCAAAGAUGAAGAAGGAUUCCUAAGGGAUUUGUGUGAGGUCUUAUUAUAUUUAUUGCUACCUCCUGGAGAUUUCCAGAACAAGAUCAUGCGAUACUUUGUCAGGGAAAUCCUUGCACGAGGAAUUCUUCUUCCAUUAAUAAAUCAACUCAGUGAUCCUGAUUAUAUUAAUCAGUAUGUCAUAUGGAUGAUCCGGGAUUCUAACUGCAACUAUGAGGCCUUUAUGAACAUUAUUAAAUUGAGUGACAAUAUUGGAGAGCUAGAAGCAGUCAGAGAUAAGGCAGCAGAAGAAUUACAGUAUCUUAGAUCUCUAGAUACAGCUGGUGAUGAUAUCAACACUAUCAAAAAUCAAAUAAAUAGCUUACUAUUCGUAAAGAAGGUUUGUGACUCAAGAAUACAGCGAUUGCAGUCAGGCAAAGAAAUAAAUACUGUGAAACUUGCAGCAAACUUUGGGAAACUUUGCACAGUCCCCCUGGACAGCAUUCUUGUAGACAAUGUUGCACUACAAUUUUUUAUGGAUUACAUGCAGCAAACUGGAGGUCAAGCACAUCUAUUCUUUUGGAUGACAGUGGAAGGAUACCGGGUUACCGCCCAACAGCAGCUAGAAGUUUUAUUAAGUCGUCAGAGAGAUGGAAAACAUCAAACCAACCAAACCAAAGGUCUUUUAAGAGCAGCUGCUGUUGGAAUUUAUGAACAGUAUUUAUCAGAAAAGGCAUCUCCAAGAGUUACUGUUGAUGACUAUUUAGUAGCAAAAUUAGCAGAUACUUUGAAUCAUGAAGAUCCAACCCCUGAAAUCUUUGAUGACAUUCAAAGGAAGGUAUAUGAAUUGAUGCUACGAGAUGAAAGAUUUUAUCCUUCCUUCAGACAGAAUGCACUUUAUGUGCGCAUGUUAGCUGAGCUUGACAUGUUAAAAGAUCCUAGUUUCAGAGGAUCCGAUGAUGGGGAUGGAGAAUCUUUUAAUGGGUCUCCUACAGGAAGCAUAAAUUUGUCUUUAGAUGACCUUUCAAAUGUGUCUUCUGAUGACUCAGUACAACUUCAUGCCUACAUUUCAGACACUGUAUAUGCUGACUAUGACCCAUAUGCUGUGGCAGGCGUUUGUAAUGAUCAUGGCAAGACAUACGCAUUAUAUGCCAUCACUGUACACCGGCGCAACCUAAACAGUGAGGAGAUGUGGAAAACCUAUCGUCGUUAUAGUGACUUCCAUGACUUCCACAUGAGAAUCACUGAACAGUUUGAAAGUCUAUCAAGCAUAUUGAAGCUUCCUGGAAAAAAGACUUUUAAUAAUAUGGAUAGAGAUUUUUUAGAAAAGAGAAAAAAGGAUCUAAAUGCUUAUUUGCAGUUACUGUUAGCUCCUGAAAUGAUGAAGGCAUCCCCAGCUUUAGCUCACUAUGUGUAUGAUUUCCUUGAGAACAAAGCCUAUAGUAAAGGAAAAGGAGAUUUUGCUCGCAAGAUGGACACUUUUGUAAAUCCGCUUCGCAAUUCUAUGAGGAAUGUUUCAAAUGCAGUUAAAUCCCUUCCUGAUAGUUUGGCAGAGGGAAUGACUAAAAUGUCAGACAACAUGGGCAAAAUGUCAGAAAGAUUAGGUCAAGACAUAAAGCAAUCAUUUUUUAAGGUGCCUCCUUUAAUUCCUAAGACUGAUUCAGACCCUGAACAUCGCCGAGUUUCGGCUCAACUUGACGAUAAUGUGGAUGACAAUAUUCCACUUAGAGUAAUGCUGCUUCUCAUGGAUGAAGUAUUCGACUUAAAAGAAAGAAAUCAGUGGUUGCGAAGGAAUAUCAAAAACCUACUUCAACAGCUUAUUAGAGCUACAUAUGGUGAUACUAUUAAUAGAAAAAUAGUUGACCAUGUUGAUUGGAUGACUUCACCUGAACAAGUAGCCGACUCAGUGAAACGUUUCAGGUAUAUCUUAAGACACAGUCACUUCUUUCAGAGAUGCAUUUUGGCCAAAUGGCAUUUUAGCAGAGACUAUUCCAUGCAGAGAUAAAAGUAUUCGAAUGAGAACAAGAGUAGCAGGAAAAACGAAAUUACUUGCAAUUAUGCCAGAUGAACUGAAGCACAUUAUUGGGGCUGAGACAACACGGAAAGGUAUUCUUCGUGUUUUUGAAAUGUUUCAGCAUAACCAAUUAAAUAGGAGAAUGGUUUAUGUCUUCUUGGAAGGCUUUUUAGAAACCUUAUUUCCACAGUAUAAAUUCCGUGAACUUUUCAACAAACUGCAUUCACGGUCAAAGCAGAUGCAGAAAUAUAAACAGAAACUUCAAACUACGCAAGCGCCUUCUUUACAGAAAAGGUGACACUCCACUCUAUGAAGCUGGUAUUCAUUUUGUCCAGGACUAAUGGUAUGGACAGAUCUUCUGGGGCUUAACUCAAAUACUGUUGUGUCUGCACCAGUCUUUUAGUGUCUCAAAAUAGAUUAUUAAUACAUCCAUAAGUCUGGUUCUUCUCAUUCUCAUCUAUAAUCCACCAUUAACAAGAGAGAUUUCUGUGUCUUAAAUGAUUUGGUGCAUAUUUUGCAACAUUGAGAGAAAACUGCCCCCAUCUCAAGCAAGAAUGGCGUUGGUUUCUUCCAUUUCGAACUAAUCAGCAUUCUCCAGCAAUGACAAAAUGCCAGUGUAUAUAUGAAAGCUAAGGAAAGCACAAAACAAUGGUUCAGAGAUAAAUUGGCUAAUUUGUUUAACAGUUGGAGACUGUGCAGUGUACGAUUUGGAGGAAUUUGUUUGGCAUAAUGAUUUUGUAGGUCUGUGUCAGCAUUUUGAUAUAUUGUGAAUUAGCCAGGUGAAUGAUCCUUGAAACAUCUCUUUCAGGUCUGGGGAAAGAGACAGAAUGCCCUUAAAGUGUGAAAUAACCUUAUACCUGAAUUACAGUUUUGUGAUAUAAAAUAAAGCUGAGUAUAAAAUAAAACCAAUCAAACACAGAAUUUGAUUGGAUUUGUUAUUCAUUGGUAUACAACAAUAUUUAUUCUUCUGUGUGCUUUAAGGGCUGUGUUAUGCUCUUAUGGUACUCAGUUUUGUGUUUCCUUUUGGCAUUCUUUGUGCAAAAAAGAAGCAUGUGGUGGCUCUCAUUUAAAUUUCAAAAUUAUUAGUUUCAUCUUUAACAGAUUACUGAUUAUACAGAAGAUAUAAUUUAUUGGAAGAACUGCCAAAUACAUUUUGUCCUUCUAAAAAUAUGGAAAUUUAAAUAGUAGUCUGGAAAGUUACCAUAUGAUAAUUUUUAAUUAUGUGAUCUAGACAUGCCUAGACAUGCCUUAGGUAACUGCAGAAAUAGCAAAUUAAAUGAUUAUUAGUCAUAGUAAACAUACAAAUUCCUAAUUCUAUGACAGUGUACAUAAAUGAAAAAAGAACUAUAAUAUUUUUUAAAAUAUGCUUUUAUUUAUAUUUCACAUAAUGUAAAAUUCUACAAAAUAAAGCUAGUAGGCAAAACCCCUCAGUGUAUACCUUUAAACCCAUAAAUUAAUUUUAUACCAAUAAAAUAAAAUACUUUCUCUAGUUUUGGAGCUUCUGUAUUUCCUAUAGUUUUCUCACUGUCCAUUUUAUCCAUCUUAGAAGUCUUCAUAUCCCUUCUAUGCAGGAUUUCUGCGUAGUUUUAAAUAUUUUCAUUGUCUAAGGGUUUCGGUGUGUCAGCUUUUUUUGUUUUAAAAAUAAUUAACACUAAAACCUUAAAUAGUGAAGCUACUUAUCAGACCACUGAGCCAAGAUCCUGGUAUUAAAAGAAAGUCUGGGUGCUUAAGAUAAAGGGACAGAGUAUUGGUAUCCCAGUUACUUGCGAGCUUUAAGAUUGGAACAAGAUAUCACUGUCUUGUUUUCCCUUAGAUCCUACUUUCAAAGUGAGGCCUAUUAACAGAAUAAAGCCUUUCUUUAAAGCUUUAUAAUAAUCAUAUUUAUUAAUAAUGCUGUUGUGUAUACUUAUAGUAUGCAUAUAUUCAGCAUAUGUUGCAUGUCUUCAGAAUUACAUAAAAUGAAAUCCCUUUCAUUGCAACUUGCAAGUAAGAAAAGAUCCUUAGUGGCUCUGGUGGAAGAAAUAGUAUUUCUUCUCAGGGUGUCUCCCUGCCUUGGCCCCUCCCUGAGCCCUAGGCUUUGAAAGUGAAGAUGUGUGAAACAUGUCUGUAGGAAGCAUCAGGAUGGCCAUAAGUGCAAUGAUUUUCAUAUAUGCCCCUGCCCAUUUCAAGUAUAUUUUUGACAUGAAUAAAUCUAAGAGUAUAUGGAAUGAUUCAUGUAAGAGCCUAGCGUGUACAUGUGAAAAAGCAUUUCUAUAUGAUGUGAGGAGCACUGGCCAUCAACCAGGGAAAGAAAGGUCAUGUAAUACUGUAAAUUUUCAAAAUAGAGCCCUGCAAGAUAACUGCAGUCAUACCAAAAACUAUUUGAGUAAAUGGAUUUUUAAAGUAAUUUUUGUUUAAAAGAGUUUAUAUUUCAGAAGCAGAAAAUGUCAAAUGAUAGUCUUUGUAAAUGGUGGUGCAUCUUCUCUAUGCACAUCUGUCUUUUACAUCAGAAAGAGCUGUGGUCGUGCUAAAAUUAGAGAUAACUUUUUGAAUGACUUGGUCAAGCUGUGUGUAAAAUAUUUAACCAUAAGUCAAGUACAGUGUACUAUGUUUAAUAAAGUUACUACAUUUAAUGCAUUUAUUGCAUAUGUGAAUAUAUACAUGAAGAGGCUUUAUGUCUUAUUUGAUUUUGAAUGUUUUUUAAGUCAGUGGUGCCUUUAGGCAAGAACUUUCAAAAUUAAUCAUUCUUUGUGUUUUCUGAUUUUUCAGGUAACAUGUAAACUAGGAACCAUCAUAGUUUAUUCACCUUAAAAAAUUGAUUGUAUUAUUUAAAUACAUCACUUAGAUGGGCAUUUCCUAUAAUUAGGAUAUUCCAAAUAGUUGCUGAAAUCAAUUGUGCCAUUGACCAAUGGAUGCACUUGGUUAGCCUUAAUUUUUUUUAAAAGAAAACAUUAAAAACUUUCUUGAAUAUUUCAGUUUGUUCAUUUUGAGUUUGUGCUGCUGAUAUUUGGGAAAAAAAAUCAAACAGUUAAGUGCUACCAGAAAGUGUACCAAUUUUUAUAAAAAUUAAUAAUAUAAAUUUCACAAUCUAAAAUUUUAAUUUUGUGCAAUAUUUUCAUUUAAUGCAUGUGUAUUUGAGUAAUUGUAAGAUAAAUGAAUUUUUAAUUUUUUGAGAUGUAGCUUAAACUGUCUUCUUAAUCCAACAACUUACAUUCCGUUGUUGCUGCAUCCUUUUAUUUAAGGACUUGUUUUAAAAGUCUUUUUGUCACUCCUUGGAAAAUUCUUUUAUUAGUAGUAAAUUUUGCUUAUAGGAGCAUGGCUCCUGUAUUACAAGGGGAAAAAUAUAAAGAGCACAUUUUAGGAUUAUACUUGUUAAAAGAUAAUGUGUGCAUAUCAUUGUACAGUAAGUGUCAACUGUGUGCCUAACUGUUCUAUCAGUACUUUCCUUCUUUAACAAAGAAACAACAAUCAGAAUGUCAGUUAUUUUUAUUCAACUAAAAGGAUUAAAAAAUUUAUUUGGUUUGCGUUCUGUCCAUUAGAAAAUACUAAUAAAGUAUUAACAAACAUUUUUGUUGAGUUCAUUUAGUAGUAAUGUAUUUUUGUUACUUCUAAGAUGCUUGCUCAGUAGUCUUAUUUUUAGGUCUGUUUGUAUUUUCUUUUCUUUUAGAUAUCAACCAAUUCAAGUUCCAGGUUGGCCGAUGAGUGCUUGAGUGAUUACUGACUUAAAUGGACUGAAUUUAGCUUUUUCUUUUAUGGGGCAAAUAAUUUACACCACAGUGUUAAAGAAACUUUAUACUUCCUUGUCAUAUAAAAUUAUAAGAUAUUUUUCCCACAGUUGAAAAGAUUCAUAAUUAGUAAUCCAUUUUAUUUGAUCUCAUUUUAAAUUCAUAUUUUGACUAAUAUUUUAGACUUUUUCCUUUCUAAAAGUAGAUUGGUCAAAAUAUUUGCAUCCUCCUUGGAGCUGUUUCAGUAGACUUCUAAGGCAUCAGAUGUGAUAACUUCUAGCCCAUCAGGGAUUGGCAUAAUAUUUCUUAAAAUGCAUGUGGUAAAAUAUUGUUCCCUAUAAGAUGUUCCUGAGGGGAAAGUUUUAUACUUUUAUGUAACUUAUACAGGACUAUCUGUAUAUGAACCAAAAAGCAAAAAUAUUCCUUCAUAAUUCAAAUGAUUAUAUCAAAAAUUCUGAGACUUUCUAUAAGAAACCUGUUUAACUUUGCUUACCUAAUUUCCUAAACUUAACCUCAGAAUCUUUUUGUCAUGAGCAGCUUGAGGAUGAUGUUCUCACGGAAUGUAGUUUGGAAAAUCUUUAGUAGGAGAGAAAAAAAGUUGAAGUGUCUUUAGUUAGGGAAUGUAAACUGGACAGAAAACCCAGUGGAUUUGGAUCACAAAGAUUUUUUUCUUGCCUGCCAUUUUAAUGGAAAGUUCAAUCUUUGGAAGAAAAGGGAAAGAUGGAAAAAGGGUGAAGAUGGAAAGUUAACAUCUGAUUAUAUAGCAGAUAUUAAAGAGUAGAAUUUGGCUCUGAAUACCAGAAUAAUGACUUCAGUGAGGAAUAAUAGAGAACAUCUCAUGAGAAGCGGGAAAGAUACUUCCACAGAUUUUGCUCAUGUGACCAGAAGAAUAGUAACUUGAAAAUGUAAGAGGAAGAAGGAAAUGCCAUACAGUUUAGUUUAUAAAAUAUUUGUGCCAGACAUUGACCCAUAUAUAUAAUGACAGGUAAUAUGUUUGACUUAGGAAAACUUGCAGUAGCUGAGUGAAAAUGAAACUUAACCCAUGGGUUUACCAAUGCAGUGUGUGAGAUGUGUGUUGAAGAUGAUAUUUUAAAUUGGUAAACAUGAUCUUUUACAUAUCAUCAAGAGUGAAAUGAAACAAUGAAACUAUGUAUUAGGAGUUUUCCCCUUGGUAUUUGACUAGGAGGACUUACAAAACUCAGCAUAUAGUCAUACAGCUAAGAUUUAUUAUGGCAGAAGGAUAUAGAACAAGAGCAAAAAAAAGUGCAUGGAUGAAGUCUGGGGGAACAAGGCUCCAGCUGCCAACUGUUCUCUCCCAGUAGAGUCACAUAAGAUGCAACUUAACUCCCACAGCAAGGAGUUGUGACAACACCUGUAAAGUGUUGCCAACCAGGAAAGCUCAUUCGAGACUUGGUGCCUGGGGUUUUCAUUGAGGGCAGUUUAUUUAGGCACUCUCUGCCUGGCACAUAACGGAAUUCCCUUAUGGAAUUUCUUUCUCAGAAAAUUGUGGUCAACAUAUGCCAUAUUUUUGGUACAGUUUAGGGUUACUGAGCCACUUUUAUCAGUUUUGGGAAUUGAUGGGAACACUCCUAAAAUCUUAAGUUCUCAAACACCUGCAGCCUUCUUUGCAAGUAAACUCCCUUCCUAAAUGCUGUUGUCUGAGUUUUCCUUUGACAGGUGGAUGUUCCUCUGGGAUGCCCAGGUGACUUACCUCCUGAGCCAGCUUUGCCUCAUUGGCUGUUUACAUCCAAGCUCACCUUGCCUCCGGGGAUGGACGUCAUUCAACAGUUAGAGCCUUUACACUUGCUGACUGUUUUCUACUUUCCCCUUCUCAUGGCUCUUUUUCUGGGUCUUGGUCAAGUCUUGUUCUGAGUUUGAUUAGUGCAUAGCUACUUUAUUUCUCAAUUGGUGGAAGCAGUGUUAGGGAGCUGACUUUUGUGGUCUGACCUAAUUUUCUGCCAAGCAGCUAUUUAUCUUUCUUGAUUGUCUUCAUGUCUUCAAGACUCUUGAUAUCAACUGGCAUCUCGGUCAGGCCAAUAUCUUGUCUCUCCUGUAUGAUUACGUUGUUCAUGUUGCAGCCUAGAUCAGUUUCUUCUGCCAGUGGCAGAAUCCUUCAUGUUCCUUGUCUUAUUUAUUUUAUUAUUAUUUUUCAAUGUGUGGGUGCUCUCUUGUUUUACUGUAUUUGGGGUGAGGUUAUUUUAGGGCAUGGUCCAGGGUAAACUGUAAGGCCUGGGUGCCCUGCUGCGAGGUCAAGGGGCAAUAGGACUAAGACUGCAGAGUCCUGGCUUCCCCACUACCUACCAAUUGCCGGCCCUGUGUGGGGGUCUCUUCUGCUUUAUCUGGCCUGAAAGAGACUGAGAUGUUUCUGGUCCCGGGUCUCCUGGGAGUUGGUUCCCAGUAUUUCCAGGGAUAGAGCAUGCUGUGGGCACUGGUGGAAAGCUUUGGUGUCUCCUCCCAGACUCUAUCUGUGCCUCUUUAUCUGUUUCUUCAGCUUCUGGACCUUGAGCACCAGGGCUUCAGCCCUGACUCCCUCCUGCCCUUCCAGCAGGGCCUGAUUCAGCUCCAGCUGCUGCUCCAGCAACUCCUCAGCUUGGUCCAGCUCAACUGUGCGGUGGGCUUAGGGUCCUGUUGAGGGGGAGUUGGGGAGCAUCAGCCAGGGCAGGGGUCUUAGACCCUUGGAACCUGUGUUGCAGGGUCUGGCUGUAAGGAAGGAAUUCGACCUCCCUUUCUCUUUUUCUAGCCCAUUAGGUUAAGGUCCCCUGUACUGAGAAGCCCAGAGAACUCCCUUUCUUGGGCAUGUUCCUUGUCUUAUUUAUACAGUAGUAUGAGAUUUAAAAGUAUUCAAGAAAAUAGUUUUCAUGCUUGCUGGAAAGCAAGCUAUCUUCCAGCUAUGCUUUGUGUCUCUGAUCUCCCUCCUCCAAUAAGUUGGUGAGUUUCAUUGUUUAUUUUUGAUUAAGAGGGAUGAAGUUAUAAAAUUUAGGCUGCUAGUUCUGUGUGUGUGUAAAUAAAAGACUUCUUGUAAAGUGUGUGUGUGUAAAUAAAAAAAAGACUUCUCCUUGUAAAAGCUUUUUACAGAUGUUUAUACUUGUAACAUUUCUUGUAUUUGCAGCUGGCAUUUACCCACUUUAUGGUCUCUCAACUUCUGGAAAUUAUGGAUAUUAAUUAGACAUAAAAAUUUAUCAUUUCUAUGCACUACUGGUGAUAUCUAAUUUAAAAAUACAGAUUAACCAUCAAAUAUGAGGGAGUGAUGGAGGGAUUUAAGUAAAAAAAUUGAAAUUAGUUUUACAUAGUUGUAAAGACUUCAGAUUUAAGAAUUUUCCUCUAAAAAUAUUAAUGACUAUGUAAGUGUAAUGGAAUGAGACAGCAGACUGAAUGGGAAAAUUACUUCUGGCUUUUCUGAAGAUUCGUGACCUCCUAAGCAACCUAGAGGGUGUUGAGUAGCUUGCAGUUUUCUUUAUCCUUUCUUUAAAAAAGAAAAAAUGUCCCAUAAAAUAAAAUGAAUCAAACACAAAUCAGAUGGUCUGAGAAAGUUUUGUGUUUAAAAACGAAACAUAUACACAUAAAUACUAAAAUGGAAAGAAAUUUGGCACUAAACUUCUCCAGGUACACUAGUUUGCCCAAAUGUUAGAUAAAAGUAUUUUAUCAUGAGUUAUACAAUAUUUUCUAAAUAUGUUUGUUGAUAAACUUGCAUGCCUUUGCUUCUCUCCAGAGAUAAGUACUAAAUUAGAUUUUAAUGUCUUAAAUUUAAUGGAGCUCUGUGUCCCCUCCAAAUCUCAUGUUGCCCCAGUGUUGGAGGUGGGGCAUGGUGGAAGAUGUUUGGAUCAUGGAGGUGUAUCCUUCAUGAAUGGCAUGAUGAUGAAUAAGUUCAUGUGAGACCUGGUUGUUUAAAAGGUGUGUGGUGCCUCCCCCUCCUCUCUCUUGCUCCUGCUUGACAAUCCUGCUCCUGCUUCACCUUCUGCCGUGAGUAAAAGUCCCCUGAGACCUCCCCAGAAGCUGAGCAGAUGCUGGCUUGAAUAGCCCGCAGAUCCAUGAGCCAAUUAAACCUUUUGUCUAUAUAAAUUACUCUGUCUCAGAUACUCAUUUGUAGCAAUGCGAGAACAGCUUAACACAAGCUCCUGUUUCGAUUGGCAUAAACGGACAAAGUAAAACUUGUGUAAGAACCGAAUAAUUUUCAGAGAGAAAGUAAAAAAAAAAAAAAAAGUAAAGUUUACUGGUUUUUUAAGGAAUUUCAAAUAGUUGAGGUGGGUAGAAGAAGUUAGUGAUGAUUUAAUGGCCUUGAUUGCUAGAUUACAAGAAACAAAUGUAUGCAUAUGUUAUCAAAUAACAGGAAACAACCUAAGACUAUCAGUAUUUUUAACUAAGAGGUCUUUAAUCCCAUUAAGAAGUGGGCAAAGGAUCUAAAUAGACAUUUUUCAAAAGAAAGCAUACAAAUCAACAGGUGUAUGAAAAAGUGCUUAUUAUCACUAAUCAGGGAAAUGCAAAUCAAAACCAUGAUAUGUCAUCUUACCUUAGUUAGAAUGACCGUUAUUGAAAAGACAGAAAAUAACAAGAUUCUGGGAAGAAUACAUAGAAAAGUGAACUCUCAUACACUGUUGAUGGAAAUGUAAAUUAAUAUAACCAUUAUGGAAAAACAGUGUGGAAAUUUCUCAAAAAAACUAAUAAAACUAACAUAUGAUCCAGCAGUUCCACUACUGGGUACUUAUUCAAAGGAAAGGAAAUCAAUAUAUCCAAGGGAUGCAUGUACUGCCAUGUUUAUACAACACUUUUUACAAUAGCAAAGAUAAGGAAUCAGCCUAAGUGUCCACCAAUGGAUAAAUGGAUAAAGAAAAUGUAGUAUAUUUACACAAUGAAAUACUAUUUGGCCAUAAGAAAGAAUGAAAUCACGUAAUUUGGAGCAACAUGGAUGGAGCUGGAGGUCAUGAAGUGAAAUAAACCAGCCACAGAAAGCUGUUAUAUGCCCCCCAACUCAUAUGUGGGAGCUAAAAAAGUAGAUUUCAUGGAGGUAAAAAGUAGAAUGAUUGUUAUAAAAGGCUAGGAAGAAUGUCAGUGGGGAGGGUGUUGGGGGGAGACAAUGAAGAAAGGUUGGUUAAUGGGCAAAAACAUACAUUUAGAAUGAAUAAGUUAUAAUUUGUAGUAGAGUAGGGUAACUAUACUUAACAACAAUGUAUUGUACAUUUCACAAUAGGUAGAUGUAAGGACUUGAAAUGUUCUCAGCACAUAGAAAUGAUAAAUACUUGUGGUGUUGGAUGUCCAAAUACCGACCUGAUAUUACAGAAUCUAUGCAUGUAAAGUAUCACGUAUGUUCCAUAAAUAUGUACAAGUAUGUAUCAACAAAAAUUACUCAGCUCUAAAAAACGUGAGGUUUUUAUUAUUUGUUAUGUAAAUGGUGGGAAAACAUCAGGUAAUAAUACUAAACAAAGUGAAUACUUGGACAAUUUAGACAAGUUAAUAAUUUUUAUGUAAGUCAACUGUAUGUCUUUGCCUUGAUGUGAAAAGAUAAUAUUACUCUGAAGUUUGUAAUUUAUGUAAAAUUUUGAUAUGUUUUUCUAUGGAAAGCGUAAUUUGAAUGCCAUAAAUUUUAUGCACUGAUUUAAUAGAUCAGGUAAGAUUUUUGUUUCCACAAAACAUUUAAGAUCAUAAAGAUAUAAAAAAAAAGUGUUUAACUAAAUUAGUAGUUUUCAACUGGGGGUAAUUUCACCAGUCAUGGAACAUUUGAUAAUGUUUGGAGACAUUUUUGAUGGUCACAACUGGGACGUUGCAACUGGUGACUUUGUGGAUGGAGGCCAGAGAUGAGGCUAAAUAUCCUAUAGCUCCCCACGGUAAAGAACUAUAUGGUCCAAAAUGUCAAGAGCACUAAGGCUGUGAAACACUGAACUAAAUUACGGCUUUAUAAAAAAGCAUUUGUUUCUCUGAUGCUACAGAUCAUAAGAUGAUGCUGUAUUGGUAGUUAUUCCAUUUACAGUGUCUGUGUAAAAAAUGGUCAUAUGCUUGAAUUCAUCUAUGUUAUUGCUUGUAUCAAUAGUUUCUUUUAUUGUUAAUAUUUCAUUGUAUGGAUCUACCACAAUUUUAUCCAUUUGCCAGUUUAAGGACAGUUGGAUUAUUUCAAGAUUUGGGUGAUUAUUAAUAAAGCUUCUAUAAACAUUGUUGCAUAA